This 253-nucleotide ribosomal RNA is filed under the name uncultured soil bacterium. Its description in RNAcentral is "partial 16S ribosomal RNA". It matches the Rfam family "Bacterial small subunit ribosomal RNA", at positions 26 to 287 of the family's 1533-position model. The record is from RNAcentral.
AGGAUGAACGCUGGCGGCGUGCUUAACACAUGCAAGUCACGGGGGCCCAGCAAUGGGCAACCGGCGAACGGGUGCGUAACACGUGAGCAACCUACCGAAAUGAGGGGGAUAGCCGGCCCAACGGCCGGGUAAUACCGCAUAAGCUCAAGUCGAGGCAUUUCGAUUUGAGGAAACCUCCGGGGCGUUUCGAGGGGGCUCGCGGCCUAUCAGCUAGUUGGUGAGGUAACGGCUCACCAAGGCAACGACGGGUAGC